RNAcentral lists this ribosomal RNA (497 nucleotides) under uncultured bacterium. Its description in RNAcentral is "partial 16S ribosomal RNA". It matches the Rfam family "Bacterial small subunit ribosomal RNA", at positions 28 to 507 of the family's 1533-position model. The record is from RNAcentral.
GAUGAACGCUGGCGGCGUGCCUAAUACAUGCAAGUCGAGCGAACGGACGAGAAGCUUGCUUCUCUGAUGUUAGCGGCGGACGGGUGAGUAACACGUGGAUAAGCUACCUAUAAGACUGGGAUAACUUCGGGAAACCGGAGCUAAUACCGGAUAAUAUUUUGAACCGCAUGGUUCAAAAGUGAAAGACGGUCUUGCUGUCACUUAUAGAUGGAUCCGCGCUGCAUUAGCUAGUUGGUAAGGUAACGGCUUACCAAGGCAACGAUGCAUAGCCGACCUGAGAGGGUGAUCGGCCACACUGGAACUGAGACACGGUCCAGACUCCGACGGGAGGCAGCAGUAGGGAAUCUUCCGCAAUGGGCGAAAGCCUGACGGAGCAACGCCGCGUGAGUGAUGAAGGUCUUCGGAUCGUAAAACUCUGUUAUUAGGGAAGAACAUAUGUGUAAGUAACUGUGCACAUCUUGACGGUACCUAAUCAGAAAGCCACGGCUAACUACGUG